Molecule: long non-coding RNA, 3139 nt
Filed under: Pelobates cultripes (western spadefoot toad)
Lineage: Eukaryota; Metazoa; Chordata; Amphibia; Anura; Pelobatidae
Source: RNAcentral
UAUCUCUCUCUCUCUCACUCACUCACUCACUCACUCACUCACACACACACACACACACACACACCCACCAACCAUCCGUUUUUUUGGGGGGGUUUUGUCCUCCUUAAGGAAAUUAAUAGGAAAGGCAAUACAAAUAAUUGCAGGCUUGUGACUACAUAUUAUCAGACUAUUCAUUAGAGCAGCAUUGUCAUGGCCACAUCCAUUUUUUUUUUAAAGCCCCCUCCCGACUCCAAUACAAUUGUCUCCCUAGUCACCCCCAAACGCCCCUAGGUGCCCCUGUGGGAGCAAUAAGCUUAUGACCUAAACAUUUUUAAAAAUCAUACUUACGAUUAGAUGUCUUCUAUUUUCUAAAAUCUUCUUUUUUCAGGCCCAAAAAAGGCCACAUAAAACAAAUUGAAAAAACGGUCUGGUCACUAAGGGGUUAAUAUUUAGUUAAUUAAUUGACUACUCCCCCACCUCCAGUAGACAUGCCCCUUCUGGCGGCAUAGCGAGCAGGGGCAGGAGGGAGAUGUUAAACUCCCUUAUUUACACAUACUGAGUAAUCUUACUUAGUGUUCGUAAACUUGGCUGAAAGACCAAGUUGUGGACUAUUCUCAUGGAAUUAUUCCGUGAUUGCUCCCAGCUAAGCUAAGUGGCAUUGGGUAAGAUCAGGCGGCUGGUAACACACACAGCUUCAUGUGAAUGGUUGAGAUCUCUCUGAGCAAGCCUCACCCAAACGUGAGCACAGAACUGAUCAAAUACUUGAACAAAUGAGCUUGCCAGGUCAGGGCGCAGUGUCACAGGACACUGUGAAGCACGCUUGUUUGUGUUUGCCAUUUUGAGAAACUCAACCUGGUGCAGGCUGUGAAGUGUAAUGAUCAGCAUAUUCUUGUGGAAUAGCACGGACCUGGAUAACCCCCAUAAGUCCAAAGGGGGUCGGUCGAAUUCUAAUAAAUGUUGAUGCUGAACCAAGGUAGGGAAUUGGCUGUUUUUCCCACCCGGGGAUAGCCAGCAGACCGCAGUAAAUACUGUAUCAGAACAACCGGUAAAACUGGAAAAACUCAGUCCAGGAUUAUACAGAAUGUUCUCCCUGCUAUAGUAGACAACCAACAGCCUCAAAAUAGCACAAUAUGUUGAAUGUUAGGCUUAAUGUAAAAUUUAAGUUGAGGAGCUCUUUCAACCUGCUUGCUCGGCAGUCAGGCCCCAGCCCCCUUUAUAGAAUAGGUUAUCAUCUGUCAUUUAUAAAAAUGUCCACCUUGGUAUUCAAGAUAAGUUAAUAAGUCAGAGAAAAUGUGUUUUGGUGGCAUUUUAUGGCGGUUCCUGAUAAAAUAGCUUGGCAUGUCAGUAGGGUGACAACGUACACAAAGCGUUGAGUCAUCCUCUGGAACUCGGCGACCUUUAUAAUACCCUUCUCAAACGUACUGUUUCUAAAUUAUAUAGUGUAACUGAAAACAUCUUUAAUCAUUGCCUAUAAAGAUAAGUGUAUUCACUAAGUACCAGAAAUUGUACUUGUUUUUCUUAAUGUUUUACCACAAUGUGAAACUUUAGUAAAUUUUUUGUGUUCCUGAGAGUCUAGUUUCUCUGUAAUCACAGCUUCAUUCCUCUUCAGUCAACAUCCCAGCUGGAAAGCAGCUCAAACCAAUGAGAUAUUUAAACAAAAUGUUGUUUUCUCCUCCCUGCCCUGACCUCUCAGGAGGCUGCCGUCAGAUAUAAGACUCUCGGCUUCUGCUGCGAAUUACAGGGUUUAAAUCUCCUCGUAACAUCAGCAGUACAUAGCGCACAGGAGGGCAGAAAAGCUAUAAUCCUCUCUCAAAGACUUUUUAAACAAAAUUACAGUAGUUACAGUGACAAAUAAACUAGACACAAAGGGUAAACUCAUUGUAAAGAACUUUGGAAUUUACAAAUAACGUGGUGCUGCAUGGAGGUUACCCAAAGACAUCUCGCUUAGAUCUCUCCAAAAAGACACUUUCAGUAUGUUUUCUUUUUGAAUAGAUGGGAAUUUUUUUUAAUAAUUCAUGAUUUUUAAGAGAGACUGUGCAUUGUUCUAUUUAAUUGGUGUUGUGUCUUUGAUCACCUGCUAUUGUAGUAGUUCAACUUCUAUGGUAAUAAAAUGUAAACAAAUAUGUCUGCCUGAAUUGGUAUCCAGCGUACAACUGGUGGUAGGACCAUCUGAGGUAGGUCCUUCUCAGCACAACAAAAACAGGUGUACCUUUUAUUUCACUCAUAUUUUUACAUGUGUUUUUUUUUUUCUUUCAUUAAACUGUCAUUAAACAGUUUUUGUUUUGGGUGAUACAUAGUGCUAGGGGUGAUAUUUAGAAAUAGUGUUAGAACAAAGUAUAGAAUUAAGUGUUGGGAUAGCAUUUAAGGUUAGGUUCCAAUAUAUAUUAUGGUCAUCCAUUUUGGCACAUUUAAAUGGCACUGAAAAAUUCUAGACCCCAGAUAUACACUUACCUAGUUUUAUAAUAGAUUAUAAUACACUGCUGUUACAUAAGGCUGUUAUGUGACACAAAUAAGGAUCUGCAGUAUACUAAGAUACUAAUAUCCUAAGAUUGCUUAAGCACAUCAGUACUGUUACUGUACUUUACUUAAAAUACACGUUGGCAAAGUGGCCAGGGAUAUAUUUAGUGAAGUGAGUGGCAUAGAGUGGAAGUUCUUAGAUUCAACACUGUCAAGACAUUGCAGACACUGCUACUUUGUUAGUGUUAACAUACUGUCACCAAAACAACUUAAGUUUAAUGAAGCAGUUUUUGCGUAUAGGUCAUGAAGCCCAUGGAGAAAUCACAGCUUAGGGGAUAGGGCCCUGACAAGGCUAGGAGGCGGGCUUGGGGGUGGUAGCAGCAGGGGAUUGGUAGAACAGUGCUUGGGGGUUGGCUGAUAUAGUCAGCCAUUUUAUGAUCCCUCUCUCUAAUUUCUUCCUCGAAGAGUUGGUCCCUCCCUCCCUUUGUAGUUUUUCCCCUAGGAACAGCACAAAACCAGGAUACACCACUGGGUGUAGGGGUAUCUGGGUAUACCCCUACCAGGUGAAAUGGAUCAAUGUUGAUAUGUUAUAUGUUAUGUUAUAUGAUGGUUGUAUAUUGGAAAUGUAUUAUGUGGUGGGUCAUUAUCUUGAUGUAAAUAUGUGAAAAUGAUACGAGAUUGGGGGCGUGGCAGGUAAUGACCC